This 454-nucleotide ribosomal RNA is filed under the name uncultured bacterium. Its description in RNAcentral is "bacterial SSU rRNA". It matches the Rfam family "Bacterial small subunit ribosomal RNA", at positions 340 to 786 of the family's 1533-position model. The record is from RNAcentral.
UACGGAAGGCAGCAGUGGGGAAUAUUGCACAAUGGGCGAAAGCCUGAUGCAGCUAUGCCGCGUGUAUGAAGAAGGCCUUAGGGUUGUAAAGUACUUUCAUCGGGGAGGAAAAACAAAACUAAUAAUUUUAUUUCUUGACGUUACCCGAAAAAGAAGCACCGGCUAACUCCGUGCCAGCAGCCGCGGUAAUACGGAGGGUGCUAGCGUUAAUCAGAAUUACUGGGCGUAAAGAGCACGUAGGUGGUUUUUUUAAGUCAGAUGUGAAAUCCCUGGGCUUAACCUGGAACUGCAUUUUGAAACUGAAAUACUAGAGUAUCGUAGAGGGAGGUAGAAUUCUAGGUGUAGCGGUGAAAUGCGUAGAUAUCUGGAGGAAUACCUGUGGCGAAAGCGGCCUCCUAAACGAAUACUGACACUGAGGUGCGAAAGCGUGGGGAGCAAACGAGGAUUAGACUCC